GGUUGUGCCCUUGAGGCGUGGCUUCCGGAGCUAACGCGUUAAGUCGACCGCCUGGGGAGUACGGCCGCAAGGUUAAAACUCAAAUGAAUUGACGGGGGCCCGCACAAGCGGUGGAGCAUGUGGUUUAAUUCGAUGCAACGCGAAGAACCUUACCUACUCUUGACAUCCACAGAACUUAGCAGAGAUGCUUCGGUGCCUUCGGGAACUGUGAGACAGGUGCUGCAUGGCUGUCGUCAGCUCGUGUUGUGAAAUGUUGGGUUAAGUCCCGCAACGAGCGCAACCCUUAUCCUUUGUUGCCAGCACGUAAUGGUGGGAACUCAAGGGAGACUGCCGGUGACAAACCGGAGGAAGGUGGGGAUGACGUCAAGUCAUCAUGGCCCUUACGAGUAGGGCUACACACGUGCUACAAUGGCAGAUACAAAGUGAAGCGAACUCGCGAGAGCAAGCGGACCACAUAAAGUCUGUCGUAGUCCGGAUUGGAGUCUGCAACUCGACUCCAUGAAGUCGGAAUCGCUAGUAAUCGUAGAUCAGAAUGCUACGGUGAAUACGUUCCCGGGCCUUGUACACACCGCCCGUCACACCAUGGGAGUGGGUUGCAAAAGAAGUAGGUAGCUUAACCUUCGGGAGGGCGCUUACCACUUUGUGAUUCAUGACUGGGGUGAAGUCGUAAGG
This 672-nucleotide ribosomal RNA is filed under the name Yersinia kristensenii. RNAcentral's name for it is "bacterial SSU rRNA". It matches the Rfam family "Bacterial small subunit ribosomal RNA", at positions 822 to 1493 of the family's 1533-position model. Lineage: Bacteria; Pseudomonadati; Pseudomonadota; Gammaproteobacteria; Enterobacterales; Yersiniaceae. The record is from RNAcentral.